AGCACAGUAGCUUUACUACAGUAGCGUGCUGGGCCCAUAACCCAGAGGUCGUUGGGUCGAAACCAUCCUCUGCUA
RNAcentral lists this transfer RNA (75 nucleotides) under Rattus norvegicus (Norway rat). It matches the Rfam family "tRNA". Rfam says of the family: Transfer RNA (tRNA) molecules are approximately 80 nucleotides in length. Their secondary structure includes four short double-helical elements and three loops (D, anti-codon, and T loops). The record is from Rfam by way of RNAcentral. Lineage: Eukaryota; Metazoa; Chordata; Mammalia; Rodentia; Muridae.